GACGAACGCUGGCGGCGUGCUUAACACAUGCAAGUCGAGCGAUGAAGUUUCUUCGGAAAUGGAUUAGCGGCGAACGGGUGAGGAACACGUGAAGAAUCUGCCCUCCACUUUGGGAUAACACCGGGAAACCGGUGCUAAUACCGAAUAUUGAAACAUAAGUGGCAUCACUGAGUUUUGAAAGAAUUUCGGUGGAGGAUGACUUCGCGGCCUAUCAGCUAGUUGGUGAGGUAAUGGCUCACCAAGGCAACGACGGGUAGCCGGCCUGAGAGGGCGACCGGCCACACUGGGACUGAGACACGGCCCAGACUCCUACGGGAGGCAGCAGUGGGGAAUAUUGGGCAAUGGAGGAAACUCUGACCCAGCGACGCCGCGUGCGGGAUGAAGGCCUUCGGGUUGUAAACCGCUUUCAGUAGGGAAGAAGCGAAAGUGACGGUACCUACAAAAGAAGCACCGGCUAACUAUGUGCCAGCAGCUGCGGUAAUACAUAGGGUGCAAGCGUUGUCCGGAAUUAUUGGGCGUAAAGAGCUCGUAGGUCGUUUGUUACGUCGGAUGUGAAAACCUGAGGCUCAACCUCAGGCCUGCAUUCGAUACGGGCAAACUAGGGUUUGGUAGGGGAGACUGGAAUUCCUGGUGUAGCGGUGGAAUGCGCAGAUAUCAGGAGGAACACCAAUGGCGAAGGCAGGUCUCUGGGCCAAUACUGACACUGAGGAGCGAAAGUCUGGGGAGCGAACAGGAUUAGAUACCCUGGUAGUCCAGACCGUAAACGGUGGGCACUAGUUGUGGGAACCUUCCACGGUUUCUGCGACGCAGCUAACGCAUUAAGUGCCCCGCCUGGGGAGUACGAUCGCAAGAUUA
RNAcentral lists this ribosomal RNA (855 nucleotides) under uncultured bacterium. RNAcentral's name for it is "bacterial SSU rRNA". It matches the Rfam family "Bacterial small subunit ribosomal RNA", at positions 28 to 896 of the family's 1533-position model. The record is from RNAcentral.